RNAcentral lists this ribosomal RNA (1572 nucleotides) under Staphylococcus aureus VET0358R. RNAcentral's name for it is "bacterial LSU rRNA". It matches the Rfam family "Bacterial large subunit ribosomal RNA", at positions 1355 to 2925 of the family's 2925-position model. The record is from RNAcentral. Lineage: Bacteria; Bacillati; Bacillota; Bacilli; Caryophanales; Staphylococcaceae.
CAGAGGAAGGCUCGUCCGCUCUGGGUUAGUCGGGUCCUAAGCUGAGGCCGACAGGCGUAGGCGAUGGAUAACAGGUUGAUAUUCCUGUACCACCUUUAAUCGUUUUAAUCGAUGGGGGGACGCAGUAGGAUAGGCGAAGCGUGCGAUUGGAUUGCACGUCUAAGCAGUAAGGCUGAGUAUUAGGCAAAUCCGGUACUCGUUAAGGCUGAGCUGUGAUGGGGAGAAGACAUUGUGUCUUCGAGUCGUUGAUUUCACACUGCCGAGAAAAGCCUCUAGAUAGAAAAUAGGUGCCCGUACCGCAAACCGACACAGGUAGUCAAGAUGAGAAUUCUAAGGUGAGCGAGCGAACUCUCGUUAAGGAACUCGGCAAAAUGACCCCGUAACUUCGGGAGAAGGGGUGCUCUUUAGGGUUAACGCCCAGAAGAGCCGCAGUGAAUAGGCCCAAGCGACUGUUUAUCAAAAACACAGGUCUCUGCUAAACCGUAAGGUGAUGUAUAGGGGCUGACGCCUGCCCGGUGCUGGAAGGUUAAGAGGAGUGGUUAGCUUCUGCGAAGCUACGAAUCGAAGCCCCAGUAAACGGCGGCCGUAACUAUAACGGUCCUAAGGUAGCGAAAUUCCUUGUCGGGUAAGUUCCGACCCGCACGAAAGGCGUAACGAUUUGGGCACUGUCUCAACGAGAGACUCGGUGAAAUCAUAGUACCUGUGAAGAUGCAGGUUACCCGCGACAGGACGGAAAGACCCCGUGGAGCUUUACUGUAGCCUGAUAUUGAAAUUCGGCACAGCUUGUACAGGAUAGGUAGGAGCCUUUGAAACGUGAGCGCUAGCUUACGUGGAGGCGCUGGUGGGAUACUACCCUAGCUGUGUUGGCUUUCUAACCCGCACCACUUAUCGUGGUGGGAGACAGUGUCAGGCGGGCAGUUUGACUGGGGCGGUCGCCUCCUAAAAGGUAACGGAGGCGCUCAAAGGUUCCCUCAGAAUGGUUGGAAAUCAUUCAUAGAGUGUAAAGGCAUAAGGGAGCUUGACUGCGAGACCUACAAGUCGAGCAGGGUCGAAAGACGGACUUAGUGAUCCGGUGGUUCCGCAUGGAAGGGCCAUCGCUCAACGGAUAAAAGCUACCCCGGGGAUAACAGGCUUAUCUCCCCCAAGAGUUCACAUCGACGGGGAGGUUUGGCACCUCGAUGUCGGCUCAUCGCAUCCUGGGGCUGUAGUCGGUCCCAAGGGUUGGGCUGUUCGCCCAUUAAAGCGGUACGCGAGCUGGGUUCAGAACGUCGUGAGACAGUUCGGUCCCUAUCCGUCGUGGGCGUAGGAAAUUUGAGAGGAGCUGUCCUUAGUACGAGAGGACCGGGAUGGACAUACCUCUGGUGUACCAGUUGUCGUGCCAACGGCAUAGCUGGGUAGCUAUGUGUGGACGGGAUAAGUGCUGAAAGCAUCUAAGCAUGAAGCCCCCCUCAAGAUGAGAUUUCCCAACUUCGGUUAUAAGAUCCCUCAAAGAUGAUGAGGUUAAUAGGUUCGAGGUGGAAGCAUGGUGACAUGUGGAGCUGACGAAUACUAAUCGAUCGAAGACUUAAUCAA